AACGAACGCUGGCGGCAGGCUUAACACUUGCAAGUCGAACGCACCUUUCGGGGUGAGUGGCAGACGGGUGAGUAACGCGUGGGAAUCUACCCUUCUCUACGGGAUAGCUCCGGGAAACUGGAAUUAAUACCGUAUACGUCCUGAGGGAGAAAGAUUUAUCGGGGAAGGAUGAGCCCUCGUUGGAUUAGCUAGUUGGUGGGGUAAAGGCCUACCAAGGCGACGAUCCAUAGCUGGUCUAAGAGGAUGACCCGCCACAUUGGGACUGAGACCCGGCCCAAACCCCUACGGGAGGCAGGAGUAGGGAAUAUUGGACGAUGGGCGCAAGCCUGAUCCAGCCAUGCCGCGUGAGUGAUGAAGGCCCUAGGGUUGUAAAGCUCUUUCAGUGGGGACGAUAAUGACGGUACCCACAGAAGAAGCCCCGGCUAACUUCGUG
RNAcentral lists this ribosomal RNA (433 nucleotides) under uncultured bacterium. RNAcentral describes it as "partial 16S ribosomal RNA". It matches the Rfam family "Bacterial small subunit ribosomal RNA", at positions 29 to 507 of the family's 1533-position model. The record is from RNAcentral.